This 274-nucleotide ribosomal RNA is filed under the name uncultured bacterium. RNAcentral's name for it is "partial 16S ribosomal RNA". It matches the Rfam family "Bacterial small subunit ribosomal RNA", at positions 523 to 796 of the family's 1533-position model. The record is from RNAcentral.
AUACGGAGGGUGCAAGCGUUAAUCGGAAUUACUGGGCGUAAAGCGCGCGUAGGCGGUUUUGCAAGUCGGAUGUGAAAGCCCAGGGCUCAACCUUGGAAUUGCAUUCGAAACUGCUUGACUAGAGUAUGGUAGAGGGAAGUGGAAUUUCCGGUGUAGCGGUGAAAUGCGUAGAUAUCGGAAGGAACACCAGUGGCGAAGGCGACUUCCUGGGCCAAUACUGACGCUCAGGUGCGAAAGCGUGGGGAGCAAACAGGAUUAGAAACCCCGGUAGUCC